UACAGAGGUCUCAAGCGUUGUUCGGAUUCAUUGGGCGUAAAGGGUGCGUAGGCUGCGAGGUAAGUCUGGUGUGAAAUCCCGGGGCUCAACCCCGGAACUGCACUGGAUACUGCUUUGCUAGAGUACUGGAGAGGGAACUGGAAUUUACGGUGUAGCAGUGAAAUGCGUAGAUAUCGUGAGGAACACCAGAGGCGAAGGCGGUUACCUGGACAGUUACUGACGCUCAGGCACGAAAGCAUGGGGAGCAAAAGGG
This 253-nucleotide ribosomal RNA is filed under the name uncultured bacterium. RNAcentral describes it as "partial 16S ribosomal RNA". It matches the Rfam family "Bacterial small subunit ribosomal RNA", at positions 524 to 776 of the family's 1533-position model. The record is from RNAcentral.